Molecule: microRNA, 20 nt
Filed under: Homo sapiens (human)
Lineage: Eukaryota; Metazoa; Chordata; Mammalia; Primates; Hominidae
Description: hsa-miR-4651
Source: miRBase by way of RNAcentral
CGGGGUGGGUGAGGUCGGGC